GAACGAGCGAGAUCCAGCUUGCUGGAUUUAGCGAGUGGCGAACGGGUGAGUAAUACGUAAGCAACCUGCCUACACGGACUGGGAUAACACCUGGAAACGGGCGCUAAUACCGGAUAGGUAACGAGAGGGCAUCCUCUUGUUAUUAAAGGUUUGAAACACAAGUAGAUGGGCUUACGGUGCAUUAGCUAGUUGGUGAGGUAACGGCCCACCAAGGCGAUGAUGCAUAGCCGGCCUGAGAGGGUGAACGGCCACAUUGGGACUGAGACACGGCCCAGACUCCUACGGGAGGCAGCAGUAGGGAAUUUUCGGCAAUGGGCGCAAGCCUGACCGAGCAACGCCGCGUGAGUGAAGAAGGUUUUCGGAUCGUAAAGCUCUGUUGUAAGGGAAGAAUGGCGCGGAUAGACUCCGCGAUUGACGGUACCUUACCAGAAAGCCACGGCUAACUACGUGCCAGCAGCCGCGGUAAUACGUAGGUGGCAAGCGUUAUCCGGAAUUAUUGGGCGUAAAGGGUGCGUAGGCGGCCUGUUAAGUUUAAGGUGAAAGCGUGGGGCUUAACCCCAUACAGCCUUAGAUACUGGCAGGCUAGAGUACUGGAGAGGAAAGUGGAAUUCCAUGUGUAGCGGUAAAAUGCGUAGAGAUAUGGAGGAACACCGGUGGCGAANGCGGCUUUCUAGACAGUAACUGACGCUGAGGCACGAAAGCGUGGGGAGCAAAUAGGAUUAGAUACCCUAGUAGUCCACGCUGUAAACGAUGAAUGCUAAGUGUUGGGGUAAC
Molecule: ribosomal RNA, 774 nt
Filed under: uncultured bacterium
Lineage: Bacteria
Description: bacterial SSU rRNA
Rfam family: Bacterial small subunit ribosomal RNA
Source: RNAcentral